This 73-nucleotide transfer RNA is filed under the name Streptococcaceae bacterium. RNAcentral describes it as "tRNA-Thr". It matches the Rfam family "tRNA". Rfam says of the family: Transfer RNA (tRNA) molecules are approximately 80 nucleotides in length. Their secondary structure includes four short double-helical elements and three loops (D, anti-codon, and T loops). The record is from RNAcentral. Lineage: Bacteria; Bacillati; Bacillota; Bacilli; Lactobacillales; Streptococcaceae.
GCCGUCGUAGCUCAGUUGGUAGAGCACCACCAUGGUAAGGUGGGGGUCGUGAGUUCAAGCCUCAUCGUCGGCU